Molecule: transfer RNA, 62 nt
Filed under: Bos taurus (domestic cattle)
Lineage: Eukaryota; Metazoa; Chordata; Mammalia; Artiodactyla; Bovidae
Also listed under: 4 other names
Rfam family: tRNA (bases 4-58)
About the family: Transfer RNA (tRNA) molecules are approximately 80 nucleotides in length. Their secondary structure includes four short double-helical elements and three loops (D, anti-codon, and T loops).
Source: Rfam by way of RNAcentral
GGCGCUCAGUCAGUAGAGAAUCUGCCUGUGGUGCAGGAAACCCAGGUUCGAUCCCUGGGCUG